CUGAGGCCUCCCCAGCUGUGUGGAACUAAUAUGGCAGAUAUAACAGCACGUAAUUUCCAAGGCAAGGUCAUAAAAGACAUUGUAGCUUCUGCCUUGUCCCUUCCUCUUGGAUCUCUUGCUAUGGAGUAGCAGCCCCAUGAAGACACCCGUGGUGGAAGAUCACUGAGGACUCCUGCCAACAGCCACCCAGUGACUGAGGCCUCUUGCAGAAAUCCAUAUGAGUGGGCCAGCUGACAAGAAAAUCUUCCAGCUCUAGUCAAGCCUUCAGAACACCAGCUCUUAGUGCCAGGAACUGCCAGGUAAGAAUUCUGACUACACUGAGGCCACCAUGCUCUGAGGAAGUCAAGCCAGAUGGAAAGAUCACAGCAGGAGAACUGGUCAGCAGUCAUACUCUUGAACUCAUCCCAACCCAGACUCCAGACAUGUGAAUUGACAAGUCUUCAGAUGAUUCCAGCACAAAGCCAUUGAGUCACCUCCAGCCAUUGAGUGUCCCCAGCCGAGACACCAGUCACCAUCAAGCAGAGCCAGUAUGCCUGUUAUGCCUGUCCAAAUUCUUGACCCACUAAAUUCUAUGAAAUUAAUAAAUGGUUGUUUAAGUUACUAAAUUUUAAACUUAAUUUGUUAUGCAGUAAUAGGAAUUGUUCCUGUCUGUGAGCAAGUCCUCAUGGACAAUAAACUCAGAUCUGUCUGUGGAAUCUGGGAGAAAAAGAGACUGUUAUCCUUCCCCAUGGUACAGCCCCAGAAAGAUAAAAGUCUCAGAAUAAAACACUGUACAUGCAUAGCUCAUUUUAUUGGGCUUUGUUUAUUGCAUCUCACAAACGUUACGCUUUUUACAGACUGAAGGUUUGUGGCAACCCUGUGUCUAUUGAGCAAGUCUACCAGCACUAUUUUUCCAACAGUAUGUGCUCGCUUUGUGUCUCUGUCUCACAUUUUGGUAAUUCUCACAAUAUUUUA
This 954-nucleotide long non-coding RNA is filed under the name Homo sapiens (human). RNAcentral describes it as "HSALNT0322671". The record is from RNAcentral. Lineage: Eukaryota; Metazoa; Chordata; Mammalia; Primates; Hominidae.